This 227-nucleotide long non-coding RNA is filed under the name Helianthus annuus (common sunflower). RNAcentral describes it as "sRNA HanXRQr2_Chr15g0709161". The record is from RNAcentral. Lineage: Eukaryota; Viridiplantae; Streptophyta; Magnoliopsida; Asterales; Asteraceae.
UUGGACGUGUGAAGGAUUGCUGUAAGAUAUGCUUCCAAACUUGCUCAUACUGUAAAAAGGAAGGCUACAAGCGUUUUAAAAUGGGAUGGGUUCGAGUGAAGGGAUUUAGAAUUGCGGUCUCGUCAUCAGCAUAGAAGGAUCAGUGGGGUUUGGGAACCGGAUAGGAAGGUUAAAUGGGCUUCGGAAAAGACUAAUAUAUAUGGCUGGAGAGCUGUACAAAAUCGUCU